This 678-nucleotide ribosomal RNA is filed under the name Salmonella enterica subsp. enterica serovar Stanley. Its description in RNAcentral is "partial 23S ribosomal RNA". It matches the Rfam family "Bacterial large subunit ribosomal RNA", at positions 975 to 1653 of the family's 2925-position model. The record is from RNAcentral. Lineage: Bacteria; Pseudomonadati; Pseudomonadota; Gammaproteobacteria; Enterobacterales; Enterobacteriaceae.
UCACGGGAGACACACGGCGGGUGCUAACGUCCGUCGUGAAGAGGGAAACAACCCAGACCGCCAGCUAAGGUCCCAAAGUCAUGGUUAAGUGGGAAACGAUGUGGGAAGGCCCAGACAGCCAGGAUGUUGGCUUAGAAGCAGCCAUCAUUUAAAGAAAGCGUAAUAGCUCACUGGUCGAGUCGGCCUGCGCGGAAGAUGUAACGGGGCUAAACCAUGCACCGAAGCUGCGGCAGCGACACUGUGUGUUGUUGGGUAGGGGAGCGUUCUGUAAGCCUGUGAAGGUGUGUCGUGAGGCAUGCUGGAGGUAUCAGAAGUGCGAAUGCUGACAUAAGUAACGAUAAAGCGGGUGAAAAGCCCGCUCGCCGGAAGACCAAGGGUUCCUGUCCAACGUUAAUCGGGGCAGGGUGAGUCGACCCCUAAGGCGAGGCCGAAAGGCGUAGUCGAUGGGAAACGGGUUAAUAUUCCCGUACUUGGUGUUACUGCGAAGGGGGGACGGAGAAGGCUAUGUUGGCCGGGCGACGGUUGUCCCGGUUUAAGCGUGUAGGUGUGUGUUCCAGGUAAAUCCGGUUCACUUUAACACUGAGGCGUGACGACGAGGCACUACGGUGCUGAAGCAACAAAUGCCCUGCUUCCAGGAAAAGCCUCUAAGCAUCAGGUAACAUCAAAUCGUACCCCAAA